RNAcentral lists this ribosomal RNA (447 nucleotides) under uncultured bacterium. RNAcentral describes it as "partial 16S ribosomal RNA". It matches the Rfam family "Bacterial small subunit ribosomal RNA", at positions 29 to 523 of the family's 1533-position model. The record is from RNAcentral.
AACGAACGCUGGCGGCAGGCCUAACACAUGCAAGUCGAACGCCCCGCAAGGGGAGUGGCAGACGGGUGAGUAACGCGUGGGAACCUACCUUUCGGUGCGGAAUAACUCCGGGAAGCCGGAGCUAAUACCGCAUACGCCCUUCGGGGGAAAGAUUUAUCGCCGAUAGAUGGGCCCGCGUCGGAUUAGCUUGUUGGUGAGGUAACGGCUCACCUAGGCGACGAUCCGUAGCUGGUCUGAGAGGAUGAUCAGCCACACUGGGACUGAGACACGGCCCAGACUCCUACGGGAGGCAGCAGUGGGGAAUAUUGGACAAUGGGCGCAAGCCUGAUCCAGCCAUGCCGCGUGAGUGAGGAAGGCCUUAGGGUUGUAAAGCUCUUUUAGUGGGGACGAUAAUGACGGUACCCACAGAAUAAGCCCCGGCUAACUUCGUGCCAGCAGCCGCCGUAA